UCCACGCAGUAAACGAUGAAUGUUAGUCGUUGGAUAGCAAGUCUAUUCAGUGAUGCAGUUAACACAUUAAACAUUCCGCCUGGGGAGUACGGUCGCAAGAUUAAAACUCAAAGGAAUAGACGGGGACCCGCACAAGUGGUGGAGCAUGUGGUUUAAUUCGAAAAUACGCGAAGAACCUUACCUAGCCUUGACAUUGAUAGAAUCUUCCAGAGAUGGAGGAGUGCCUUUCGGGGAACUUGAAAACAGGUGCUGCACGGCUGUCGUCAGCUCGUGUCGUGAGAUGUUGGGUUAAGUCCCG
RNAcentral lists this ribosomal RNA (298 nucleotides) under uncultured bacterium. RNAcentral describes it as "partial 16S ribosomal RNA". It matches the Rfam family "Bacterial small subunit ribosomal RNA", at positions 794 to 1089 of the family's 1533-position model. The record is from RNAcentral.